UCGCCUUCUUUUCGGCUUUGGUUGGAUGCCCACUCAUCAAAGGCAAAGCCCGAAAGACGUCAAAGGCAAGAACGAGCCUCCAAUUCCAUUUUAUCCCUUUUGUUUCUCCUUUUCUUUCUCUCUCUUUCUUUGACGGUUUGACCUCCCUCUUUUGUUUCUUCUAUCCCUCUUUCCAGCAAUUUGCUGGGAGACGGCUGCAUGUUGCUGCAGAAUCCAAUCCCCCAACGUUCGGGCCACAACACUCGCUGUCCCGCUCGCAUAUCCAGUCCAAGAACAGUGCAGUGCGGUGCGUCCAUGAUGGCAAAACUGGUGGCACCAUUUUUGCUGGAUCGGCCAUGCGUGUUGAGUUCGAUCGUGUUCUCCAGCCGGCAGAGAGCAGAGCACCGACGGUCGACCCCGACGCCCAGCUCGCCCGUGCAACUUGGAACGUGGGGUGCCGUCUCAUCUGUGACUGACUGUGCUGCAUGGGGGGCGGAUAGCUAGAGUGGAUGGACCUCAC
This 499-nucleotide long non-coding RNA is filed under the name Setaria italica (foxtail millet). RNAcentral describes it as "long non-coding RNA (SITA_LNC000029)". Lineage: Eukaryota; Viridiplantae; Streptophyta; Magnoliopsida; Poales; Poaceae. The record is from RNAcentral.